Molecule: ribosomal RNA, 497 nt
Filed under: uncultured bacterium
Lineage: Bacteria
Description: partial 16S ribosomal RNA
Rfam family: Bacterial small subunit ribosomal RNA
Source: RNAcentral
GAUGAACGCUGGCGGCGUGCCUAAUACAUGCAAGUCGAGCGAACAGACGAGGAGCUUGCUCCUCUGACGUUAGCGGCGGACGGGUGAGUAACACGUGGAUAACCUACCUAUCAGACUGGGAUAACUUCGGGAAACCGGAGCUAAUACCGGAUAAUAUAUUGAACCGCAUGGUUCAAUAGUGAAAGACGGUUUUGCUGUCACUUAUAGAUGGAUCCGCGCCGCAUUAGCUAGUUGGUAAGGUAACGGCUUACCAAGGCGACGAUGCGUAGCCGACGUGAGAGGGUGAUCGGCCACACGGGAACUGAGACACGGUCCAGACUCCUACGGGAGGCAGCAGUAGGGAAUCUUCCGCAAUGGGGGAAAGCCUGACGGAGCAACGCCGCGUGAGUGAUGAAGGUCUUCGGAUCGUAAAACUCUGUUAUUAGGGAAGAACAAAUGUGUAAGUAACUAUGCACGUCUUGACGGUACCUAAUCAGAAAGCCACGGCUAACUACGUG